This 492-nucleotide ribosomal RNA is filed under the name uncultured bacterium. RNAcentral describes it as "partial 16S ribosomal RNA". It matches the Rfam family "Bacterial small subunit ribosomal RNA", at positions 29 to 507 of the family's 1533-position model. The record is from RNAcentral.
AGUGAACGCUGGCGGUAGGCCUAACACAUGCAAGUCGAACGGCAGCACAGUAAGAGCUUGCUCUUACGGGUUGCGAGUGGCGGACGGGUGAGGAAUACAUCGGAAUCUACUUUUUCGUGGGGGAUCACGUAGGGAAACUUACGCUAAUACCGCAUACGACCUACGGGUGAAAGCAGGGGAUCUUCGGACCUUGCUCGAUUGAAUGAGCCGAUGUCGGAUUAGCUAGUUGGCGGGGUAAAGGCCCACCAAGGCGACGAUCCGUAGCUGGUCUGAGAGGAUGAUCAGCCACACUGGAACUGAGACACGGUCCAGACUCCUACGGGAGGCAGCAGUGGGGAAUAUUGGACAAUGGGCGCAAGCCUGAUCCAGCCAUACCGCGUGGGUGAAGAAGGCCUUCGGGUUGUAAAGCCCUUUUGUUGGGAAAGAAAAGCAGCAGGUUAAUACCCCGCUGUUCUGACGGUACCCAAAGAAUAAGCACCGGCUAACUUCGUG